AUUGAACGCUGGCGGCAGGCCUAACACAUGCAAGUCGAGCGGAUGAAGGUCUCUUGCUCCUGGAUUCAGCGGUGGACGGGCGAGUAAUGCCUACGAAUUUGCCUGGUAGUGGGGGAUAACGUCCGGAAACGGGCUCUAAUACCGCAUACGUCUUGAGUGGGAACAUUGGGGAUUUUCGGAUCUCACGCUUUCAGAUGAGCCUAGGUCGGAUUAGCUAGUUGGUGGGGUAAAGGCCUACCAAGGCGAGGAUCCGUAGCUGGUCUGAGAGGAUGAUCAGUCACACUAGACCUGUGACACGAUACAGACUCCAACGGGAGGCAGCGGUGGGGAAAAGUGGACUGUGCGCGGAAGCCUGAUCUAACCAAGCCGCCUCUGUGAAGAAGGGCUUGCGAUAUUGGAGCAAUUUAAGUUGGGUGGAAGGAUAAUAAGUUAAUCGCGUGAUGAGUUGACGUUACCGUAAGAAUAAGCACCGGCUAACUCCGUG
Molecule: ribosomal RNA, 484 nt
Filed under: uncultured bacterium
Lineage: Bacteria
Description: partial 16S ribosomal RNA
Rfam family: Bacterial small subunit ribosomal RNA
Source: RNAcentral